GACGAACGCUGGCGGCGUGCUUAACGCAUGCAAGUCGAACGGAAAGGCCCUGCUUUUGUGGGGUGCUCGAGUGGCGAACGGGUGAGUAACACGUGAGUAACCUGCCCUUGACUUUGGGAUAACUUCAGGAAACCGGGGCUAAUACCGGAUAGGAGCUCCUGCUGCAUGGUGGGGGUUGGAAAGUUUCGGCGGUUGGGGAUGGACUCGCGGCUUAUCAGCUUGUUGGUGGGGUAGUGGCUUACCAAGGCUUUGACGGGUAGCCGGCCUGAGAGGGUGACCGGCCACAUUGGGACUGAGAUACGGCCCAGACUCCUACGGGAGGCAGCAGUGGGGAAUAUUGCACAAUGGGCGGAAGCCUGAUGCAGCAACGCCGCGUGCGGGAUGACGGCCUUCGGGUUGUAAACCGCUUUCGCCUGUGACGAAGCGUGAGUGACGGUAAUGGGUAAAGAAGCACCGGCUAACUACGUG
This 468-nucleotide ribosomal RNA is filed under the name uncultured bacterium. RNAcentral's name for it is "partial 16S ribosomal RNA". It matches the Rfam family "Bacterial small subunit ribosomal RNA", at positions 28 to 507 of the family's 1533-position model. The record is from RNAcentral.